Pieris napi is the source of this 1719-nucleotide long non-coding RNA. RefSeq lists it as uncharacterized. NCBI's taxonomy places the organism in Eukaryota, Metazoa, Arthropoda, Insecta, Lepidoptera, Pieridae. The record is from RefSeq and is a predicted model, not a curated record. The transcript is spliced from 4 exons.
CUUAAGAGGGUGCAGCCGUGAGAAGGCGAGAUUUCGAUAUUUUAGUGACUUUUGACAUGCUACUUUUCACAUAAUCGAAGCUUAUUAAAUAAAGAAAUGUACAAUUAUGUAAACAUAAAGUCUUAUAGAAGUGUACUGCAAAGGAAAAUUUUGGUAUUUAAUAGUACAUCUUUGUUUAAUUUGUCAUUUCUUAAAAGCAAAAUUUCAAAAGCGCUCGUCAGAGCUCACUUUGAGAUAUGAAAUUACCAUUAAGCUAUGUAAAUACAUUUUUUUAAAUAUUUUCGUAGGACAGAAUAUAUAGUCUAUUGGUGAACCACAGCGGAAAAUAUUAAAAAUUAUAUAUUUUAAUAAUUACGCACCCAUUUUUAUAAAUGACUUAUUAUACGAUUUUGGAAACAGCUUUUUAUGAGAAAAGCCCGAUUUUAUUCGUUAAAACUAUUUUGUAUCGAUUAACUGAGGAUGAAUAAAUAAUAAAAGUAAAUUUACAUAAUUAUUAUACGACGAUAGUUAUUACAAACUAUUAUUGAAAAUGGCCUAUAUAAUUACGCGCACGGGCGAAUGUGAUUUAGUACGCGCCGGGUCAUCCCAGAGGGUGGACGUAUCGCUCAUUUCCCGCGCGUCUAAAAGUUGAUUGACCUUACGUACGACCGAGGUUCAAAAGGAGUAUAGUGCGUCAUUGGAUUUGAUACUUUAGCAUGGGUAACAAACGCAAAAAAUAUAGUUGCAGUAGAAAUGCGAAGUCUGCAGCGAACGCCAGGCAAUCAAAAAGGAGAAAGAUUAACGAGGAAAAAAACCAACGUACUCAUGAAUCUCCUGACAAUAACGACUCCUGUGUUGAUUCAAAAAAUAAUAAUCGUGACAAUGUAAGUAUUUACUAUCAGCUAGUAUAAUUAGCUAUUCAUACUUAAAUUUAAAUCAGUAUAUAUUUAGCAGUCAUCUGGGUAAAUUAAUCAGUAAAUUAGAGGCUUUUACUAAACCCCGGUUUCUAAUUAAAUCAUUGUCUAAUAACCAGCCAAGUAAUUGAGCGCAAUAUUAAACCAGAUGGCUGAAUGUCGUGUAGUCAUUUAUAUUAAAUCAGAUACCUAUUUAUGGAUUUGUGAUGUUUGGGUAAGGUGACCAUCGGAUCUGGAAAAAAUAGAUGAGAAAAAACAAAAUAUACAUUUAGAAGAAACGGCAAAUAUUGAAGAGUUUGAAUUGGAAGUGGAGCCACAAAAACAUAUCAUUCCUCCAUAUCAAAUUAUAGGAAGAAGGAUUGUUGAUUUCAUGUAUUUCUUUGAUCAAAUCAAAAUCGUAGCUAACCAUAAUCCUGGACUCGGUUGUUCAAUAAGUAAUGUUGAAAUUGUCAAAGAAAUACUUAAUGGCUUAGAAUCGACAAUCCACUUCAAAUGUACAAUGUGUAACAAGAAAUUUAAUGUCACACUAUGCAAUAAUAAUUUUCCAAAAGAGAUGACCACAAACCAUGCUGCAGUGACUGUUUGUAAAUAAUAAAUCUAGAAAUGUAAUUUAUGAUGUAUCAUUUACCCAAUACUAGUUUGAUAAAAAUUAAAAAGUUUCAUGGGGGCACACACACGUGACCGUGUAUAUCAAAGUAUCAAUAUUAUUUUAUCCUACUAUUCCACGUUCGAGAUAGCGCUUACGCACACAGACGCAUUUUGUUGUUGUGUAGCUCGUCUCGCGUCGAUUUUGACUUGGCUGAAUUGGGAUAAGCGCUCUUAAUCG